Long non-coding RNA from Malaclemys terrapin pileata, 609 nucleotides. RefSeq lists it as uncharacterized. The record is from RefSeq and is a predicted model, not a curated record. The transcript is spliced from 3 exons. NCBI's taxonomy places the organism in Eukaryota, Metazoa, Chordata, Testudines, Emydidae.
CCUCCUUGCCUUUCUGACUCUUCACUCUGACAACCCAUACUAAAUCUCCAAAUUGCUUAUGGGAACUGGAGUCUAUAUAUUAAUAGGUUGUUCCAUUUUAUUUUCUGCAGAAGGGAGCUGUAUUUGCAAUAGCUUUCCUUCACUCAAAACCCUUUGUCAAAAGAAGAACAGCAAGCUGCAUCUUUAUAUAUGAAAGACAUUCUGUUAAAUUGGUGAGACUAUAAUUGUUUCGACGGAAGCAAAAGUUGGCUACAUGAUUACAGUAUUAGGGCUCAAUACGUGAAUAUACAGAACAAAUGGCUCCCUAACUUAGCAGCCAAAGCUCCUACUCCAUGCCUGUUUCUUAAGACCCAUUCCCAGACUUAAAUGCCACCUGCCUAAAUGUUGGACCAAGCCUCCUAUGGAAGAACUCAGUCUCGUGACUUGAAAUGUCUGUUUGCAAUGAGCCCAGUCCUGAUGAUCUUACUCAAGCAAAACUCCCAUUGAAGACAUUUGGGACAAAUACAUCUCUGGUGUAACCUGGCAUGGAGAAAAUGGACUAACACCAGAUAUAAAUUUGACCCAAUGCUUACUGCCAUUAUCGAUGCUGGGAAAAAAAAAAAAAAAAAA